This 228-nucleotide ribosomal RNA is filed under the name uncultured Acanthamoeba. RNAcentral's name for it is "partial 18S ribosomal RNA". It matches the Rfam family "Eukaryotic small subunit ribosomal RNA", at positions 97 to 279 of the family's 1831-position model. The record is from RNAcentral. Lineage: Eukaryota; Discosea; Longamoebia; Acanthamoebidae.
CUCAUUAAAUCAGUUAUAGUUUAUUUGAUGGUCUCUUUGUUCUUCUUUUUACCUACUUGGAUAACCGUGGUAAUUCUAGAGCUAAUACAUGCACAAGGUCCCGAGCGUGGAGAGUAGUACUUCAUGGUUCUAUUCUUGCAUGUGUAGAGGGAUGUAUUUAUUAGGUUAAACAACCAGCAUUUUUUCAUUUCUGGUGAUUCAUAGUAACUCUUUCAGAUUGCAUUCAUG